GCAUCGACGAGACCCAUCUUUGCAUCUCACUAGUCUGCCACUUUGUGCCGCGCAUUUGUGGGUUGUUUGUGUUGCAUGCUCUGUGAAGCGUAGCACACAUAGAUCUGAAUAUUUUACCAACCUCCUAAGCUAAGCCUAUUCAGCCAGAAAGCUCAUAGCAGCUACCUGCAUCCGACAUGACCGAGAGGAAGGAGAGUUCGAAGCUGGGGAAGCUGCGAAGCUGCGUGAAGCAGCAGAAGGGGAAGCUUUACAUCAUCAAGUUGUGCAUCACCAUGCUCAUCUGCGGCGGCCCAAAUUAAAUUGAGUACGCAUCAUGCGCUGCUUUCAUCCCUAAACCUGUAUCGAUUUUAGUUUUGAUCCAGUCGAUCAGCAAGAAUCUAUCUAAGCUCGAUCCCUGUAUAUCUACACACAGGUGCCAUCAUAUGUGUUGAGCAUGAAAUGUAAUCCAUAGAGAAAAUGUAAUCUAACUGUUUAUGGAUCCAAUACUAUGUUGAAUAAUAUGUGU
RNAcentral lists this long non-coding RNA (505 nucleotides) under Setaria viridis. RNAcentral's name for it is "long non-coding RNA (SVIR_LNC002919)". The record is from RNAcentral. Lineage: Eukaryota; Viridiplantae; Streptophyta; Magnoliopsida; Poales; Poaceae.